RNAcentral lists this ribosomal RNA (197 nucleotides) under uncultured bacterium. RNAcentral's name for it is "partial 16S ribosomal RNA". It matches the Rfam family "Bacterial small subunit ribosomal RNA", at positions 328 to 539 of the family's 1533-position model. The record is from RNAcentral.
ACGCUCGACACCUACGGAGGCAGCAGUGGGGAAUAUUGCACAAUGGGGGAAACCCUGAUGCAGCGACGCCGCGUGAAGGAAGAAGUAUUUCGGUAUGUAAACUUCUAUCAGCAGGGAAGAAACUGACGGUACCUGACUAAGAAGCACCGGCUAAAUACGUGCCAGCAGCUGCGGUAAUCUGAGCGGGCUGGCAAGGC